RNAcentral lists this ribosomal RNA (253 nucleotides) under uncultured bacterium. Its description in RNAcentral is "partial 16S ribosomal RNA". It matches the Rfam family "Bacterial small subunit ribosomal RNA", at positions 524 to 776 of the family's 1533-position model. The record is from RNAcentral.
UACGGAGGGAGCUAGCGUUAUUCGGAAUUACUGGGCGUAAAGCGCACGUAGGCGGCUUUGUAAGUUAGAGGUGAAAGCCUGGAGCUCAACUCCAGAAUUGCCUUUAAGACUGCAUCGCUUGAAUCCAGGAGAGGUGAGUGGAAUUCCGAGUGUAGAGGUGAAAUUCGUAGAUAUUCGGAAGAACACCAGUGGCGAAGGCGGCUCACUGGACUGGUAUUGACGCUGAGGAGCGAAAGCCAGGGGAGCAAACGGG